This 245-nucleotide ribosomal RNA is filed under the name uncultured bacterium. RNAcentral's name for it is "partial 16S ribosomal RNA". It matches the Rfam family "Bacterial small subunit ribosomal RNA", at positions 524 to 768 of the family's 1533-position model. The record is from RNAcentral.
UACAGAGACCCCGAGCGUUAUCCGGAAUUACUGGGCGUAAAGCGCGAGCAGCCGGUUGUAUUAGUCUGAUGUUAAAUCCUUAGGCUUAACUUAGGGACCGCAUCGGAAACGGUACGGCUAGAGCAGCUGAAAGGUAAGCGGAACGUGCGGUGUAGGGGUGAAAUCCAUUGAUAUCGCACGGAACACCAAAAGCGAAGGCAGCUUACUGGCGGUUUGCUGACGGUCAAUCGCGAAAGCGUGGGGAU